RNAcentral lists this ribosomal RNA (1216 nucleotides) under Viridothelium virens. RNAcentral describes it as "partial large subunit ribosomal RNA". It matches the Rfam family "Eukaryotic large subunit ribosomal RNA", at positions 40 to 1138 of the family's 3401-position model. Lineage: Eukaryota; Fungi; Ascomycota; Dothideomycetes; Trypetheliales; Trypetheliaceae. The record is from RNAcentral.
AUAUCAAUAAGCGGAGGAAAAGAAACCAACCGGGAUUGCCUCAGUAACGGCGAGUGAAGCGGCAACAGCUCAAAUUUGAAAUCAGCCAUAAGGCCGAGUUGUAAUUUGCAGAGGAUGCUUCGGAUUCUGCUCCGACCUAAGUCUUUUGGAACAAGGCGUCAAGGAGGGUGAAAAUCCCGUAUUUUCGGACUCUAGUCUCCAUGUGAAGCUCCUUCGAAGAGUCGAGUUGAAAGGGAAUGCAGCUCUAAAGGGGAGGUAAAUUUCUCCCAAAGCUAAAUAUCUGCUAGAGACCGAUAGCGCACAAGUAGAGUGAUCGAAAGAUGAAAAGCACUUUGAAAAGAGAGUUAAACAGCACGUGAAAUGGUUAAAACCCAAGCUUAUGCAGCCAGAUAUGAUUCAAAGGCUCAGCCUUAUGGUGUAUUCUUUUGAAUCAGGUCAGCAUCAGUCUAGGCAGCUGGAUAAAAGUUUCGGGAAUGUAGCUCUUCGGAGUGUUAUAGCCCGAUCCAACAUGCAGCUAGUUCAGUCUGAGGUCCGCUUACAGGAUGCUGACGUAAUGGUGGCAUGAGGCCCGUCUUGAAACACGGACCAAGGAGUCUACUAUUUAUGCGAGUGUUUGGGUGACAAACCCAUCCACGUAAUGAAAGUGAACGUUGGUAGGAGCUUCGGCGCACUAUCGACCGGUCUUGAAGUCUUCGGAUGGAUCUGAGUAAGAGCAUAAAUAGCAGGACCCGAAAGAUGGUGAACUAUGCGUGAAUAGGGUGAAGUCAGAGGAAACUCUGAUGGAAGCUCGUACCCGUUCUGACGUGCAAAUCGAUCUCAUAAUUUGCGCAUAGGGGCGAAGUAAGUUUGAAUAAAAAUGGCUUUGGGAUGCAGUGAUGCUAAUGAAUCUCUCACAGAGACUAAUCGAACCAUCUAGUAGUAAGUUUAACUUGUGCUAUUUAAAUUUUUGGGUUUAAAAUGCUAAUUAAACCUAGGCUGGUUCUUGCCGAAGUUUCGUAAGUUUUCUGCGUUAACCGCAUUGAAAUGAAACAAAACUAACAGCCAAAUAGCCUCAGGAUAGCAGUAACGCCUUCAGUUUUAUGAGGUAAAGCGAAUGAUUAGAGGCCUUGGGGUUGAAACAACCUUAACCUAUUCUCAAACUUUAAAUAUGUAAGAAGUCCUUGUUACUUAGUUGAACGUGGACACUCGAAUGCAACGUUACUAGUGGGCCAUUUUU